Molecule: transfer RNA, 63 nt
Filed under: Coptosoma bifarium
Lineage: Eukaryota; Metazoa; Arthropoda; Insecta; Hemiptera; Plataspidae
Description: tRNA-Tyr
Source: RNAcentral
GAUAAAGUGGCUGAAUUUUAGGCAAUAAAUUGUAAAUUUAUAUAUGGUUAUAACCCUUUAUCA